This 255-nucleotide ribosomal RNA is filed under the name uncultured bacterium. Its description in RNAcentral is "partial 16S ribosomal RNA". It matches the Rfam family "Bacterial small subunit ribosomal RNA", at positions 524 to 776 of the family's 1533-position model. The record is from RNAcentral.
UACGUAGGGUGCAAGCGUUAAUCGGAAUUACUGGGCGUAAAGCGUGCGCAGGCGGUUUUGUAAGUCUGUCGUGAAAUCUCCGGGCUCAACCUGGGAAUUGCGAUGGAGACUGCAAGGCUAGAAUCUGGCAGAGGGGGGGUAGAAUUCCACGUGUAGCAGUGAAAUGCGUAGAGAUGUGGAGGAACACCGAUGAGCGAAGGCAGCCCCCUGGGUCAAGAUUGACGCUCAUGCACGAAAGCGUGGGGAGCAAACAGG